AGUGAACGCUGGCGGUAGGCCUAACACAUGCAAGUCGAACGGCAGCACAGUAAGAGCUUGCUCUUACGGGUGGCGAGUGGCGGACAAGUGAGGAAUACAUCGGAGUCUACUUUUUCGUGGGGGAUAACGUAGGGAAACUUACGCUAAUACCGCAUACGGCCUACGGGUGAAAGCAGGGGAUCUUCGGACCUUGCGCGAUUGAAUGAGCCGAUGUCGGAUUAGCUAGUUGGCGGGGUAAAGGCCCACCAAGGCGACGAUCCGUAGCUGGUCUGAGAGGAUGAUCAGCCACACUGGAACUGAGACACGGUCCAGACUCCUACGGGAGGCAGCAGUGGGGAAUAUUGGACAAUGGGCGAAAGCCUGAUCCAGCCAUACCGCGUGGGUGAAGAAGGCCUUCGGGUUGUAAAGCCCUUUUGUUGGGAAAGAAAAGCAGCAGGUUAAUACCCCGCUGUUCUGACGGUACCCAAAGAAUAAGCACCGGCUAACUUCGUG
RNAcentral lists this ribosomal RNA (492 nucleotides) under uncultured bacterium. RNAcentral's name for it is "partial 16S ribosomal RNA". It matches the Rfam family "Bacterial small subunit ribosomal RNA", at positions 29 to 507 of the family's 1533-position model. The record is from RNAcentral.